RNAcentral lists this unclassified non-coding RNA (233 nucleotides) under plant metagenome. RNAcentral describes it as "partial contains small subunit ribosomal RNA and internal transcribed spacer 1". The stretch from base 1 to 54 matches the Rfam family "Eukaryotic small subunit ribosomal RNA", at positions 1778 to 1831 of the family's 1831-position model. The record is from RNAcentral.
GGAAGUAAAAGUCGUAACAAGAUUUCCGUAGGUGAACCUGCGGAAGGAUCAUUCAUAAUAAAGUGUUUUAUGGCACUUUUUAAAAAUCCAUAUCCACCUUGUGUGCAAUGUUAGAUCUCGUCAAUCUUGGCGAGAUUGUUAUACAUCAACUCAUUCUUUAACUAAUUUGUCUGAAAAAUAUUAUGAAUACUUAAUUCAAAAUACAACUUUCAACAACGGAUCUCGUGGCUCUC